UGCCUGAAUAACUACUGGAAACGGUAGCUAAUACCGCAUAACGUCGCAAGACCAAAGAGGGGGACCUUCGGGCCUCUUGCCAUCGGAUGUGCCCAGAUGGGAUUAGCUAGUAGGUGGGGUAGCGGCUCACCUAGGCGACGAUCCCUAGCUGGUCUGAGAGGAUGACCAGCCACACUGGAACUGAGACACGGUCCAGACUCCUACGGGAGGCAGCAGUGGGGAAUAUUGCACAAUGGGCGCAAGCCUGAUGCAGCCAUGCCGCGUGUAUGAAGAAGGCCUUCGGGUUGUAAAGUACUUUCAGCGGGGAGGAAGGGAGUAAAGUUAAUACCUUUGCUCAUUGACGUUACCCGCAGAAGAAGCACCGGCUAACUCCGUGCCAGCAGCCGCGGUGAUACGGAGGGUGCAAGCGUUAAUCGGAAUUACUGGGCGUAAAGCGCACGCAGGCGGUUUGUUAAGUCAGAUGUGAAAUCCCCGGGCUCAACCUGGGAACUGCAUCUGAUACUGGCAAGCUUGAGUCUCGUAGAGGGGGGUAGAAUUCCAGGUGUAGCGGUGAAAUGCGUAGAGAUCUGGAGGAAUACCGGUGGCGAAGGCGGCCCCCUGGACGAAGACUGACGCUCAGGUGCGAAAGCGUGGGGAGCAAACAGGAUUAGAUACCCUGGUAGUCCACGCCGUAAACGAUGUCGACUUGGAG
This 691-nucleotide ribosomal RNA is filed under the name uncultured bacterium. RNAcentral describes it as "bacterial SSU rRNA". It matches the Rfam family "Bacterial small subunit ribosomal RNA", at positions 137 to 822 of the family's 1533-position model. The record is from RNAcentral.